AUGGCCUGCUGUGGCUGCUGAGACAGGCUGAGGGUUAGCACAGUCUAUGGCUCAGUCUAUAGAAUUACCCUUUAAACUCUAUGUUCGCCCACUGCCCACUUCUGUUUAUCUGCUGUCUAACAGGUAUGGACACCAAGUCUAGCCAAGCAGUCCAGAAGAAUAGUGGACCCACUGAUAUGGAGGAGAAGUUGAGGAACCCACCCAAGAGAGCAGCACUGAACUCCCCACAGGCUAAGAGGUGGGAUGCCCUCAGAAAGAGCUGUGAAGACACCUGUGGGUGUGACCUUGGAAACUGCUGAGAGGAGCUCCGCUGGCUUCAGAGACCCUGGAGCAAGUAGCAAGCAAAGCACAGAUGGAACAGGAAGCCUCUUCUUUCCCCAUCUUCCGCUGCCCUCUACAGACAGUUUCAUGUUGUGCCAGAUGGCAAGGGGAGCAUAGGCCCAGCACCCAUCAAGGGUGGACUGGGCACUGCCACGCAACAGAUGAUUAACUGUGCAGGAUGCUGGUGGACGGCACUGGUGGAGAGAGCUCUUUCAUAAACACUUUUUGAAAAUGUUUGCUUGAAGGACUAUUCCUGCCCGUUGAGAAAUUAUUCAAAACAAAGAACUCAACGGAAAAAAAAAAUAAGUGUAAAAGAAAAAGCAAAGAACAAUUAAAUCAAUAAACAAUGCAAACUAAAUGAUUGUGAUUAAUACGGUAUAAAUAUCAAUAAAAGUGAUGAAAAAGUA
Long non-coding RNA from Marmota flaviventris (yellow-bellied marmot), 728 nucleotides. RefSeq lists it as uncharacterized. The record is from RefSeq and is a predicted model, not a curated record. NCBI's taxonomy places the organism in Eukaryota, Metazoa, Chordata, Mammalia, Rodentia, Sciuridae.